GACGAACGCUGGCGGCGUGCUUAACACAUGCAAGUCGAACGGAAAGGCCCUGCUUUUGUGGGGUGCUCGAGUGGCGAACGGGUGAGUAACACGUGAGUAACCUGCCCUUGACUUUGGGAUAACUUCAGGAAACUGGGGCUACUACCGGAUAGGAGCUCCUGCUGCAUGGUGGGGGUUGGAAAGUUUCGGCGGUUGGGGAUGGACUCGCGGCUUAUCAGCUUGUUGGUGGGGUAGUUGCUUACCAAGGCUUUGACGGGUAGCCGGCCUGGGAGGGUGACCGGCAACAUGGGGACUGAGAUACGGCCCAGACUCCUACGGGAGGAAGAAGUGGGGAAUAUGGCACAAUGGGGGGAAGCCUGAUGCAGCAACGCCGCGUGCGGGAUGACGGCCUUCGGGUUGUAAACCGCUUUCGCCUGUGACGAAGCGUGAGUGACGGUAAUGGGUAAAGAAGCACCGGCUAACUACGUG
This 468-nucleotide ribosomal RNA is filed under the name uncultured bacterium. RNAcentral describes it as "partial 16S ribosomal RNA". It matches the Rfam family "Bacterial small subunit ribosomal RNA", at positions 28 to 507 of the family's 1533-position model. The record is from RNAcentral.